RNAcentral lists this transfer RNA (72 nucleotides) under Perca fluviatilis (European perch). It matches the Rfam family "tRNA". Rfam says of the family: Transfer RNA (tRNA) molecules are approximately 80 nucleotides in length. Lineage: Eukaryota; Metazoa; Chordata; Actinopteri; Perciformes; Percidae. The record is from Rfam by way of RNAcentral.
UCCCAUGUGAUCUAGCGGUUAGGAUUCCUGGUUUUCACCCAGGUGGCCUGGGUUCAGCUCCCGGUAUGGGAA